RNAcentral lists this ribosomal RNA (497 nucleotides) under uncultured bacterium. Its description in RNAcentral is "partial 16S ribosomal RNA". It matches the Rfam family "Bacterial small subunit ribosomal RNA", at positions 28 to 507 of the family's 1533-position model. The record is from RNAcentral.
GAUGAACGCUGGCGGCGUGCCUAAUACAUGCAAGUCGAGCGAACGGACGAGAAGCUUGCUUCUCUGAUGUUAGCGGCGGACGGGUGAGUAACACGUGGAUAACCUACCUAUAAGACUGGGAUAACUUCGGGAAACCGGAGCUAAUACCGGAUAAAAUUUUGAACCGCAGGGUUCAAAAGUGAAAGACGGUCUUGCUGUCACUUAUAGAUGGAUCCGCGCUGCAUUAGCUAGUUGGUAAGGUAACGGCUUACCAAGGCAACGAUGCAUAGCCGACCUGAGAGGGUGAUCGGCCACACUGGAACUGAGACACGGUCCAGACUCCUACGGGAGGCAGCAGUAGGGAAUCUUCCGCAAUGGGCGAAAGCCUGACGGAGCAACGCCGCGUGAGUGAUGAAGGUCUUCGGAUCGUAAAACUCUGUUAUUAGGGAAGAACAUAUGUGUAAGUAACUGUGCACAUCUUGACGGUACCUAAUCAGAAAGCCACGGCUAACUACGUG